Molecule: ribosomal RNA, 459 nt
Filed under: uncultured bacterium
Lineage: Bacteria
Description: partial 16S ribosomal RNA
Rfam family: Bacterial small subunit ribosomal RNA
Source: RNAcentral
CCUACGGGUGACAGCAGUGAGGAAUAUUGGUCAAUGGGCGCGAGCCUGAACCAGCCAAGUCGCGUGAGGGAAGACGGUCCUAUGGAUUGUAAACCUCUUUUGUCGGGGAGCAAAAGACGCCACGCGUGGCGUUCCGAGAGUACCCGAAGCAAAAGCAUCGGCUAACUCCGUGCCAGCAGCCGCGGUAAUACGGAGGAUGCGAGCGUUAUCCGGAUUUAUUGGGCGUAACGCGUCCGCAGCCGGUUUAUUAAGUCUAAGAUUAAAGCCCGAAGCUUAACUUCGGUUCGUUUUAGAAACUGGUAGACUCGAGUGUGGUAGAGGCAAGUGGAACUUCUAGGGUAGCGGUAAAAUGCGUAGAUAUUAGAAAGAACACCAGUGGCGAAGGCGACUUGCUGGGCCAUCACUGACGGUCAGGGACGAAAGCGUGGGGAGCAAAUAGGAUUAGAUACCCGGGUAGUC